GCCAGUAUGGUGUAGUGUUUUGAGCAUUAGACUAUGACUCUGGAGGCCAGGGUUCAAAUUCCUGCUCAUCCA
Non-coding RNA from Phrynosoma platyrhinos (Desert horned lizard), 72 nucleotides. The record is from the annotation of a GenBank genome assembly. Lineage: Eukaryota; Metazoa; Chordata; Lepidosauria; Squamata; Phrynosomatidae.